CGCUUCGGUGGCCUAAUGGUUAUAACGUCCGACUUGGAUGCGAAAUGUCGUUGGUUCGAUCCCCGGCUGAGUGA
Molecule: non-coding RNA, 74 nt
Organism: Potamilus streckersoni
Lineage: Eukaryota; Metazoa; Mollusca; Bivalvia; Unionida; Unionidae
Source: the annotation of a GenBank genome assembly